This is a small nuclear RNA of Gracilinanus agilis (Agile Gracile Mouse Opossum), 105 nucleotides long. NCBI's taxonomy places the organism in Eukaryota, Metazoa, Chordata, Mammalia, Didelphimorphia, Didelphidae. The record is from RefSeq and is a predicted model, not a curated record.
UGCUGGCUUCAACAGCACACAUACAAAAUUGGAAUGAUAUAGAGAAGAUUAAUAUGGCGCUUGUGCAAGGAUGGCAUGCUAGUUGGUGAAGCAUUUCAUUUAAAA